Molecule: long non-coding RNA, 200 nt
Organism: Dipodomys ordii (Ord's kangaroo rat)
Lineage: Eukaryota; Metazoa; Chordata; Mammalia; Rodentia; Heteromyidae
Exons: 4
Source: RefSeq, a predicted model, not a curated record
AGCUGUCAAAGGAUUAAAACGCAAAGCUUCAAAGAGCCCCAGUGAAAAAUGGAAGACUGAGCAUCUUACUGCAGUGGAUUCAAGCAGCAGUGAUGACUUUGAAACCUCUGUGAUCCCAAAGCCACCACUGAUUAGGCAUGUGUUUACUGACUCAGAAUCUGAUGAUGACCUCUUUCUGAGGAAAAAGAAACCUAAAAUUU